GAUGAACGCUGGCGGCGUGCCUAAUACAUUCAAGUCGAGCGAACGGACGAGAAGCUUGCUUCUCUGAUGUUAGCGGCGGACGGGUGAGUAACACUUGGAUAACCUACCUAUAAGACUGGGAUAACUUCGGGAAACCGUAGCUAAUACCGGAUGAUAUUUUGAACCGCAUGGUUCAAAAGUGAAAGACGGUCUUGCUGUCACUUAUAGAUUGAUCCGCGCUGCAUUAGCUAGUUGGUAAGGUAACGGCUUACAAAGGCAACGAUGCAUAGCCGACCUGAGAGGGUGAUCGGCCACACUGGAACUGAGACACGGUCCAGAAUCCUACGGGAGGCAGCAGUAGGGAAUCUUCCGCAAUGGGCGAAAGCCUGACGGAGCAAAGCCGCGUGAGUGAUGAAGGUCUUCGGAUCGUAAAAAACUGUUAUUAGGGAAGAACAUAUGUGUAAGUAACUGUGCAAAUCUUGACGGUACCUAAUCAGAAAGCAACGGAUAACUACGUG
Molecule: ribosomal RNA, 497 nt
Filed under: uncultured bacterium
Lineage: Bacteria
Description: partial 16S ribosomal RNA
Rfam family: Bacterial small subunit ribosomal RNA
Source: RNAcentral